GACGAACGCUGGCGGCGUGCUUAACACAUGCAAGUCGAACGGUGAAGCGAGUGCUUGCACUCGUGGAUCAGUGGCGAACGGGUGAGUAACACGUGAGUAACCUGCCCAUCACUCUGGGAUAAGCACUGGAAACGGUGUCUAAUACUGGAUACGACCAACCCUUGCAUGGGGUGUUGGUGGAAAGAUUUAUCGGUGAUGGAUGGGCUCGCGGCCUAUCAGCUUGUUGGCGGGGUAAUGGCCCACCAAGGCGACGACGGGUAGCCGGCCUGAGAGGGUGACCGGCCACACUGGGACUGAGACACGGCCCAGACUCCUACGGGAGGCAGCAGUGGGGAAUAUUGCACAAUGGGCGAAAGCCUGAUGCAGCGACGCCGCGUGAGGGAUGACGGCCUUCGGGUUGUAAACCUCUUUCAGCAGGGAAGAAGCGAAAGUGACGGUACCUGCAGAAGAAGCACCGGCUAACUACGUG
Molecule: ribosomal RNA, 469 nt
Filed under: uncultured bacterium
Lineage: Bacteria
Description: partial 16S ribosomal RNA
Rfam family: Bacterial small subunit ribosomal RNA
Source: RNAcentral